UUUACCCAAACCCACUAAGCCGGUUAUAAAACCCAAACCCCCACCUUUAUUUCCCAUUUAUUUUCCCAUUUUAUCUAAUCUCUCUCUCUCUCUCUUCGCGUAGUACGAUUCUAGGGUUUCCGACGGUUUAUUUCAUUUGAUUGAAAGAGGGUUUUCUUUGCUGUUUCCGGACAUAUUGAUUAAGCCAUUAGAAAGGGUUACUGCAAUUCCUCCAAUAAGCUCUUCCUCUCGGGUCCUCUUAUCGCCAUCUAAUAGAUUAUUUGAGCCUUUUUGUGAUCGGCCAUCUUGCUUCUCAAGAGCCAAUAUGGUAUAGAGUAGCGCUCAAGGCAACAAAUUAUGGUAUAGAGUAGCUCUAUUUUUUUAUUUAUUUUUUUGGUUCUUGGAAUUGCUAUUCUUUUUUAGGACAAAUUAAAAAGAAAAUGAUUCCUAUAAAUUGAUAUAAAUGGAGUACUGUAUUACUGGAUUAGUAUAUUCACAAAGGCACAUGAACAUGUCUCUUAGAUUAACUCAUAAAUAAUUGAUUAGAUCGGAUUAAAUUUCAACUUGAUAAACAUCUGAGUUACUGUAGCCAUCUCUUAUGCCUUCAUUUGCAAAUCAACCUGCUGGAUUUUCUUAGUUCCCUUUCUCUUAAAAGCCUUUCCAAUCUAGAUGGAACAAUAUAAUCAUAAUUAUACUUGAUUCCGGACGUUUGUAGGAUCUGUGUUUGAAUUGAAUUAGUAGAAAUCAUGAAACAUAUGAUGCAUUUAUUUAGUCACAAAGCAGACCAUCUUUAAAAAAAAUUAAUAUCACAACAUCUUUGUCAAAUGAGGCACUUAGGAACAAGAAUUAACCUUUUUCUGUCACUUAAAAGAAUGGACAAAUUUCAUAUUCACCAAACAGGACAAUGUGACAAGUUAUAGCAUAUUACAUCUCUUCACUUAAUAGUGAAACUCAUUAAACUAUAAGGAAACUAAUUUAAAGUUGUGAGCUUUAAUAAAUUUAUCAUUGCUUUCAUGGAAAAAUAAGGCUGGACUAAGUAAUGAGUAAUGAGACAAAUGCAGAAGGUUAACUGAGGACCCAAAUUAUCAUCCAAAAGUAGACCAGAAAUGGGAAAGGAGUUUUACACAAGGACCAAUUGUUAUAAAAAGAUUAAAGUUAAAAAUAAAGGAAAACGACUAAAAAAAAAAGAAAAAAAAAGGAAACAACAUACAAACCAAUGAUAAUUUGGGUCCUCAGUUAACCUUGUGCAUUUAUCUCAUUAGUCAUUACUCAUUACCUAGUUCAGCCUUAUUUUUCCAUCAAAGCAAUGAUGAAUUUAUUAAAGCUCACAACUUUAAGUUAGUUUCCUUAUAGUUUAAUGAGUUUCACUGUUAAGUGAAGAGACGUAAUAUGCUAUUACUUGUUACAUUGUCCUGUUUGGUGAAUAUGAAAUUUGUCAAUUCUUUUAAGUGAUAGAAAAAGAUUAAUUUUUGUUCAUAAGUGCCUCAUUUGACAGAGAUGUUGUGAUUUUUUUUUUUAAGAUGGCCUGCUUUGUGACUAAAUAAAUGCAUCACAUGUUUUAUGGUUUAAACUAAUUCAAUUCAAACACAGAUCCUACAAACGCAUGGAAUCAAGUAUAAUUAUGAUUAUGUUGUUCCAUCUAGAUUGGAAAGGCUUUUAAGAGAAAGGGAACUAAGAAAAUCUAGCAGGUUGAUUUGCAAAUGAAGGCAUAAGAGAUGGCUACAAUGACUCAGAUGUUUAUCAAGUUGAAAUUAAUCCGAUCUAAUCAAUUAUGUAUAAGUUAAUCUAAGAGAAAUGUUCAUGUGGCCUUUGUGAAUAUACUAAUCCAAUAAUACAGUACUCUAUUUCUAUCAAUUUAUAGGAAUCAUUUUUCUUUUUAAUUUGUCUCAAAAAGAAUAGUUAUUCCAAAAACCAAAAAAAAAAAAAAAAUAGAGCUACUCUAUACCAUAAUUUAUUGCCUUGAGAGCUACUCUAUGCCAUACUGGCUUUGAGAGGCAAGAUGGACGAUCACAAAAAGGCCCAAAGAAUGCAUCAUCUUCAACUGUUGCAAGUGAUGGCUGGUUGGAAGACGACUUCAACUUUGAUGCUGCAAUUGAAACUAUGACACAAGAAUCACAGCAAACAGUUGACUCUUCUCAAGCCACGACACAAAAAUCACAGCAAACAGUUGACUCUUCUCAAGCCACGACACAACAAUCACAGCAAACAGCUGACUCUUAUCAAGCCACGACACAACAAUCACAAGCCUAUGGUCCAGAUAUUGGCCAUGAGGAAGAUUCAAAGCUGAGGCCCAACAUUAUCUCUGAUUCACAGACAAGAAAGCUGCUAAUGAGGCUACCAAUUGGUACAAGAAGAAUUCAGUUUACUGAGGGUACAGAUGGAGUGUCAAUGCCCACAGACUUGCCUUAUUUACCAACUAAGAAUACUUGGUGAGGCAAUGCAGCACUUACGCAGAGCCAGCUUGAAGCUCAAGCAAGAAGAAAGAGGAUGAAGCUUGGAUCAAGAGGGAAAGCAGUUGUUGUACCAAAUUCUGAUAUCUAACAAGAUGUGUUGCUAGUUUUUGUGAUAGAUGGUUGUGUCAAAUGGUUGGUAUGGGGGUGGUUAUUUUUGUUAAAAUGUUUAAUGAUGGUUGAUGGACAACUUACUUUAGCUUAGUUUAACUUAGUUAAUGUGGAUGAUGGCUGUGGAAAACAAUUGAUUUUUGGUGAAUUCACUGUCACAUUUAUCAUGUCGACUGUUGACAUGUGAAUG
Lycium barbarum (goji berry) is the source of this 2730-nucleotide long non-coding RNA. RefSeq lists it as uncharacterized. The record is from RefSeq and is a predicted model, not a curated record. The transcript has 2 exons. Lineage: Eukaryota; Viridiplantae; Streptophyta; Magnoliopsida; Solanales; Solanaceae.